GUGUUUCCACGGGAAAUAAAUGCGCGUUUACUUCACGCACAUCACUAUCCAAUCAGUCGAGUUUCAACUCUCAACCGUCGUUACCGUUCCCUUCGUUUCCAGCAAGCAAAGCCAGAAUUCAUCAUUCUCUCCGCAUUUCCCUUUGAACAAAACAAUGGCGUCUCAAAACCAUAGUCCCAAAAAUUCCCUAUAUCCAGAAGUGAUGCUAUCAAAUCCCGAUUCCCCUUCUCAUCUCCACUCAAACCCUAAUCCUCAAUCCUCAUCUUCCAACCUCUACCCUACCAUAGACAUGCGCGACCUCGUCGAAAAUCUGUUCCCUGACCCCGAAGAAUACAAUCAACGAGCCCCCUCUGCCCCGCCGGAGGCCAUCGAGGAAGUAUUGAUCAAAAUUCCCGGUGCCAUUCUUAAUCUCAUCGAUAAAAACUACAGUGUCGAGCUCGCUUGUGGAGAUCUCUC
Molecule: unclassified non-coding RNA, 456 nt
Filed under: Hevea brasiliensis (rubber tree)
Lineage: Eukaryota; Viridiplantae; Streptophyta; Magnoliopsida; Malpighiales; Euphorbiaceae
Source: RNAcentral